Molecule: long non-coding RNA, 638 nt
Organism: Erpetoichthys calabaricus (reedfish)
Lineage: Eukaryota; Metazoa; Chordata; Cladistia; Polypteriformes; Polypteridae
Exons: 2
Source: RefSeq, a predicted model, not a curated record
CAAAUGUGGAGAAAGUUAAAGAAUAUGAAAGUAGGAAAAUUAGAAAGUAUAAAAAAAAGAAAGUAAAGAUCACAGCAGCGCAAACAAACGGAAAUUAUUACUCGAAAAAGGGAAAAUAAUCACCAUGGACCAGGUGUCAUUGGAAAAAAAGCAGGACAAAGCGAGGUCAGAAAUAAAAGACAGAGUAGAAAACAAAGUAAAAUAUCAUAAAGAGGUUAAAAAAGGGGGCCAAACACAUGCAGAGCAGGUUAGAGAUAAUGAGAACUGAAUAUGAAAGCAGAAAAAAACGAUAGUGUCAAAACAUAGAAAGUAAAGAUCGCAUUAGCUGAAAAAAAGAGAAAUUAUUACUCAGAGAAAUAACUAAAAGGCAAAUAGAGAUCAAAUAUAUGGACACAGGUGAUAUGUCAGAAGUAUGUAAAUAUUGUAAGGCUUUGAAGUUUAAGUCAGAAUUUCAAAAACGGGAUUUACCUCACAUGCAUUUAUUAGUUACUUUGCAAAAAAAAUUAUUAACUGCUGAUGAUGUAGAUCGCUUUGUCUGUGCUGAAAUUCCAAACAGAGAAACCUAUCCUGAAUUAUGGUACAAACUCAUUAAACACAUGUCUCACAGACCUCAUUUAAAAGAUUCAGCAUAUUGGGAC